UAAGUUAUAAUUUUAGAAAGAUGGAAACCUAACUAUUUAAAUUAAAAAUAGUCUAGGUUAGAUUUUUUUUGUCAAACCGUACAAACUUGGGAAAAGAGAGAAAAGAGCAAGGGCAGGAGGUUGGGACUUGAAGCUUUAGGAAGGAAGAACACACCUGUCGCGGCGCGAAAAAUAACUGAGCGUAAGGAACGCUCGAAAUAUAAACAAAACAGAGUC
This 216-nucleotide long non-coding RNA is filed under the name Lathyrus oleraceus (garden pea). RNAcentral describes it as "Pisum sativum (pea) long non-coding RNA (PSAT_LNC015879)". The record is from RNAcentral. Lineage: Eukaryota; Viridiplantae; Streptophyta; Magnoliopsida; Fabales; Fabaceae.